Molecule: long non-coding RNA, 504 nt
Organism: Microplitis mediator
Lineage: Eukaryota; Metazoa; Arthropoda; Insecta; Hymenoptera; Braconidae
Exons: 3
Source: RefSeq, a predicted model, not a curated record
GCCAUAUUGGCAUUGAGUAUAACUGAGUCCUUAACAGGUUAUGUUGGACCGACUCAACCAAAUGAAUCUGGUCAAUCCGCUGCUCGUGAACUCGGUUUAGCUUACAGUGAAUAUUUCUACAAAUAUUUCAAAGCAUUUUUUGACGGAAACUUACGUAAUUUUGUCUAUUUGCCAUUUGGUGCAUUUCAAGCAAUAAACACGCCACGUUAUGGCGCCAAAGGAAAUACUGCUCAGCAAUUCGACUCAGUUUUCCCAUUGCCGUUAGACGAAAAUGUCAAGAACCUAGGUUACCAGUAUAAUACUGCGUACUUGAACCGUCCAAAUGCAGAGCCUAACUUCACUUUCCAUAGUACAUAUUUCACAAGCAACGGCAACUAUUUGCAAUCCAAAGCUCAGGAAGACUUAAGUAAAUAUUAUGGAUUAGAAAUAAAAAAUCAAAACUUCAAUGAUCCUCAACAAAAUGCUCAGAUAGUUAAUCAACUGGCUUCCUUUUACACAAAUGGC